GCAUCACUAGUGCAUUUAUGAGCAUCUCUCCGUAUGUACUUCAUUCGGUUACGAUGAGGACGUCAUAGGUUUUAAGCGGAGGGGGGGGGGGCAUCACCGUUCAUGUGCAAGCAGGAGUUUUUGGAUCUAGUUUAUUCAAGUCAAGUCGUGUGAGUGUCUAAAUUAGUGUUUUUAUUUCAAUCAAAAUUUGAUAAAGUAGUCAUCUUCCUAGCUUCGGGAAGGCUUAGGUUUAGAUCGCUACUUUAGCAUCUAGGUUUGAAGAAGCAUGAAUAAAAUUGAGGAUCGUGUGAGUAUUUUUAGUGUCUAACUUUGCUUACUUGUCUUUUACUUUGUCUUUACAACUUUUGAUCAUGAGCUUUGUCUUGAAUUUUAAAUCUUAGUUGUGGAGUUAAGUAAUUGAUUUAUCUUUGCAAGACCCAAUCCUUCAUGAUGAUCUAGUACUUUGGUUUUGAUUAUGCUCUAUGAGGAAGGUUUAAUUUGUAGGUGACUUAAAAUUUUUAUUGCUUAUCAAAAAUCUCUGCAAAAACAAGAUUGAUCAAGUUCUCUACCUUGGUUGAGAGUUGUUUAUGCUAUCCAAAGCCUAAAAAGAUUUAUCCAUACCACCAUAAGCAAAACUAAUGCUUUGAAUUGAGUUAGGAUCGCUCUCUCUAGGAUUUUUUAAUUUCGAGCAUUGAUCAUAUCCUUCUACUAUCUUUUAUUGCUAGCCUCAUCAAUAUUCAGUAAUGAGAGUUUUUUCAUUGGAAUAAUCAUAUUUUCUACUGAAUUCCUUAACCCCGAACCAAAUAUUUCUAUAUUUUAUUACCUAUUCCUUGAACACAACCCAAUAUUCAAAGAUUUAUUGCAUUUUCUGGCCGUGGAAUAUGAAAUUUUAUGGAAGGGACAAUGUAUGGAAGUCACACUAGAAAAGGGAGCGAAAAAGGAGGGUAGAGGAGGCCUGGCACACUCUAGGCCGAUCGGCUUGUGGCUCUCCUACCUCGGUUCGCGUGCGAAGAAUUUUGGGAAGCUCUCUAGAAUGUUCUAAAGCUAAAAUUUGUGGUGUGGUGUUCAAAGGAGGUUCGGAGAAGAGAUGAAAAAUAAGAAAAAUAGGGAAGAAAGAAAGAAAGUGUGUGAAAUAAAAGGAAAAAAGGGGGUAUAAGAAAGAGAAAAAAAGAAUAAGAUUGAAAAGAGGAGGAGUUUGUACUGUCAUGAAGAUCACUGAAAGUGCAAAGAAGGAUUACAUUGCUUACAGGACGGAUCUUCAUUCCAACCAUGACAACGAGAUCAUCGCUUGUGCCUCGGAGUCACUAUUUUAUUUCCCUUUGCACAUAUCCACCAUUUUAUAUCUUCCCAUCCUUGAAAACCUCACAUUAUGUGGAUAUUAUUAUGAUCAAUCACUCGGAAGGUACGCAACUGCUAGAGAGUUUUCUUAAUUCGAUAAUAUAAGUGUUGAUUCUUGCUAAGCCUUAUCC
This 1448-nucleotide long non-coding RNA is filed under the name Setaria viridis. RNAcentral describes it as "long non-coding RNA (SVIR_LNC009357)". The record is from RNAcentral. Lineage: Eukaryota; Viridiplantae; Streptophyta; Magnoliopsida; Poales; Poaceae.